This 87-nucleotide transfer RNA is filed under the name Methanomassiliicoccales archaeon. Its description in RNAcentral is "tRNA-Ser". It matches the Rfam family "tRNA". Rfam says of the family: Transfer RNA (tRNA) molecules are approximately 80 nucleotides in length. RNAcentral also lists the same sequence under 3 other names. The record is from RNAcentral. Lineage: Archaea; Methanobacteriati; Thermoplasmatota; Thermoplasmata; Methanomassiliicoccales.
GCGGAGGUGGCCCAGCCCGGCAAGGCGAUGGAUUGCUAAUCCAUUGUUCGCAAGGACCCGGGGGUUCGAAUCCCCCCCUUCGCGCCA